This 860-nucleotide ribosomal RNA is filed under the name Heterodera trifolii. Its description in RNAcentral is "SSU rRNA". It matches the Rfam family "Eukaryotic small subunit ribosomal RNA", at positions 112 to 972 of the family's 1831-position model. The record is from RNAcentral. Lineage: Eukaryota; Metazoa; Nematoda; Chromadorea; Rhabditida; Heteroderidae.
AUAAUUUACUUGACCUUGACUUCUUACUUGGAUAACUGUGGUAAUUCUAGAGCUAAUACAUGCACCAAAGCUCCAAUCUCCCCAGAGCGGAGCGCAUUUGUUCGCCACAAAACCAAGCGCCCUCCGGGCGUCCAGUGUUGACUCAGAACAACUAAGCUGAUCGCACGGUCUUGUACCGGCGACGUGUCUUUCAAGUGUCUGCCUUAUCAACUUUCGAUGGUAGUGUAUCUGACUACCAUGGUGAUGACGGGUAACGGAGGAUAAGGGUUCGACUCCGGAGAAGGGGCCUGAGAAAUGGCCACUACGUCUAAGGAUGGCAGCAGGCGCGCAAAUUACCCACUCUCAACGCGAGGAGGUAGUGACGAGAAAUAACGAGACCGAUCUCUUAUGAGGCCGGUCAUCGGAAUGGGUACAAUUUAAACCCUUUAACGAGUAUCUAUGAGAGGGCAAGUCUGGUGCCAGCAGCCGCGGUAAUUCCAGCUCUCAAAAUGCAUAGAAUUAUUGCUGCGGUUAAAAAGCUCGUAGUUGGAUCUGUGCUAGCCGUCCGGUGCACACUUUGUGUGUUACUGGUUCGGUUGGCUUUUCUGCCGGUCUCUCCCCGGCGUUGGCCUUUACCGGUCGGCGUCGGUGGGCUGGCGAGUUUACUUUGAACAAAUCAGAGUGCUUCAAACAGGCGUUUCGCUUGAAUGUUCGUGCAUGGAAUAAUAGAAGAGGAUUUCGGUCCGAUUUUAUUGGUUUUGCUGACCGAGAUAAUGGUUAACAGAGACAAACGGGGCCAUUCGUAUUGCUACGUGAGAGGUGAAAUUCUUGGACCGUAGCAAGACGGACUACAGCGAAAGCAUUUGGCAAGAAUGUCUUCA